AGUCACUGACAUUAGAUACCCCUGUAGUCCAGGGUGUAAACGCUGCCGACUUGGUGUUGGAGGCCCUUCGGGGGCAUUCAGUGCCGGAGAGAAGUUGUUAAGUCGGCCACUUGGGGAGUACGUCCGCAAGGAUGAAACUUAAAGGAAUUGGCGGGGGAGCACCGCAACGGGAGGAGCGUGCGGUUUAAUUGGAUUCAACACCGGAAAACUCACCAAGGGCGACUGUUACAUGAAAGCCAGGCUAAUGACCUUGCUUGAUUUUUCAG
Molecule: ribosomal RNA, 266 nt
Filed under: uncultured archaeon
Lineage: Archaea
Description: partial 16S ribosomal RNA
Rfam family: Archaeal small subunit ribosomal RNA
Source: RNAcentral